This 404-nucleotide ribosomal RNA is filed under the name Scinax squalirostris (striped snouted treefrog). Its description in RNAcentral is "partial 16S ribosomal RNA". It matches the Rfam family "Bacterial large subunit ribosomal RNA", at positions 1967 to 2515 of the family's 2925-position model. The record is from RNAcentral. Lineage: Eukaryota; Metazoa; Chordata; Amphibia; Anura; Hylidae.
ACUUGUUCUUUAAAUGGGGACUAGUAUGAAUGGCAUCACGAGGGUUAUACUGUCUCCUUUUUCCAAUCAGUGAAACUAAUCUCCCCGUGAAGAAGCGGGGAUAAAACCAUAAGACGAGAAGACCCUAUGGAGCUUUAAAUCUCCCUUUAAGCGCCGGCCUAUUUACUAAGUCACAGACCCCUUUAUAUUUACCCCCGCGCCAUGAAGAUGACUUUUAGGUUGGGGUGACCGCGGAGUACAAAAAAACCUCCACGUUGAACCAGGCUCCCAAGCCCUGAGCAAAGGACUACAACCCGAUGCACUAAAAAACUAACAUCCAUUGACCCAAUACUACUUGAUCAACGAACCAAGUUACCCUAGGGAUAACAGCGCAAUCUACUUUAAGAGUCCAUAUCGACAAGUAG